This 113-nucleotide ribosomal RNA is filed under the name Allopusillimonas ginsengisoli. The record is from RNAcentral. Lineage: Bacteria; Pseudomonadati; Pseudomonadota; Betaproteobacteria; Burkholderiales; Alcaligenaceae.
CUUGACGACCAUAGCAAGGUGGUCCCACUCCUUCCCAUCCCGAACAGGACAGUGAAACGCCUUUGCGCCGAUGAUAGUGGACGUACGUCUGUGAAAGUAGGUCAUCGUCAGGC